Molecule: unclassified non-coding RNA, 356 nt
Filed under: uncultured fungus
Lineage: Eukaryota; Fungi
Description: sequence contains ITS1
Rfam family: 5.8S ribosomal RNA (bases 1-105)
Source: RNAcentral
GAAGUGCGAUAAGCAAUGCGAAUUGCAGAAUUCCGCGAAUCAUCAGAUCUUUGAACGCAAAUGGCGCCGGAGGGAUCUCCUUUCGGCAUGUCUGUUUCAGUGUCUGAGAGGUUUCACACAAAUCUUAAUGUGAUUGACAAGAGAUGAGGAUGUAUUUAUUUAUAUUCUUCUUCUUAAGUCUCUCAUGAAAGAUGCGCAAGGGGAUCUUUCGGUCCAAUGAAGUGGUCACAUCACUCGCAUGUGAUUUCAUUGGAUUUAUAACCAAACCGAAUUAUCCGAGAACUUGCGGUUCUAUACUACAAAAAAAACUUCCAUACCCUGCAUCUGAGACAGGCAAGAUUACCCGCUGAACUUAA